Culex quinquefasciatus (southern house mosquito) is the source of this 642-nucleotide long non-coding RNA. RefSeq lists it as uncharacterized. The record is from RefSeq and is a predicted model, not a curated record. Lineage: Eukaryota; Metazoa; Arthropoda; Insecta; Diptera; Culicidae. The transcript is spliced from 2 exons.
AAACAAAGGUAAAAAAGGACAUGUGUGUGCCGCAAUUACGGACAGUCCACCACCGAGCGUUGAUCCUGGGCUCCUGCAACGGAACGGAAUGGACACAAAAUGUUGCAGGUGUCUUGUGGGAAUGAGAAAAAAAAACGAGGGGGAGAAAAAGCAGAAUAAUAAAUGUCCCACAACUUGCACGUGGAGGGACCGGCUAUCUGAUUCUCAAUCGGUUCAGUGGUGCGAGGGUUGUUGAAUGGCCCUUCUUUUGAAAGUUUCUGGUCAGCAGGACACAGCAUAGUGGCAAUGAUAAUUUUAUGUGCCACUUUAGAAGCCCGCCAGUUAUGUAUAAAGUGGAGGUGUUUACUUAUCAAUCGCCUCGCGUACCUGUCCCAGGAUAGGCGUUCAGUAUGGAUUUGGUGCUUGUCGGAUACGUUUGGGAAAACAUGAAUACUUUGCCUUGAGCACCUUGCUAAGGAAGAGAAGCCAUGGAAUUAGGAUCUGUUGGAUUUCAUCUCACCGCACACAGACCCAGCUAGGACGGGUGAGGGGGCGUAUCCGGACAUGCGCACAUAUGCUGACAAAAUUAACACUUGGCGUGCCUUGUUCCAUUUUUGAAUAUUCGACAAAAAUUAAAAUUUAUUUUGUUUAAACUUUAUCAUC